RNAcentral lists this long non-coding RNA (235 nucleotides) under Lathyrus oleraceus (garden pea). RNAcentral's name for it is "Pisum sativum (pea) long non-coding RNA (PSAT_LNC035268)". Lineage: Eukaryota; Viridiplantae; Streptophyta; Magnoliopsida; Fabales; Fabaceae. The record is from RNAcentral.
AUUGAGUGAGCGAUGGAGAGAUUGAGUGAGCGUGAGUGAUUGAGAGAGCGAUUGAGAGGCGUGAGAGAUUGAAGAGUGAGGACGAUGAGGGAUUUCUUGUUCUGUUAUUGUUCCUCUCAUUUUCUUGUUUUAUUUAUUUUAAAAAACAAACGUUUAAACCAUUAAAAAAAAUUAACACUUUUAGUCUUCCUUUGUUUUUUUUAUUAAAUAGUGUAUAUUAAUGUAUUAUUUUUUG